UUGAGGUGGUUAAGGCAUGCCUCAGUCAAGCUCCUCCUCGACUUCAUCUGCACCAUUACCAGGAUUUCCAUCAUUUGCCUCGGGGGCAUCCAGAUCAAAAAUCCAAUUUGCCUUAUCUCUCGGAUCUGUGCGGUUCCUGUUGGGCAUGAUGAUGCUCCGAACUACCUUGUUUCUAACAACAGGAUGGUACUUCCCGUCGUCUCUUGCUUUGAUCAGAUGUGAAGCACGACAGUAGUUGAUGUCGAGG
Molecule: long non-coding RNA, 247 nt
Filed under: Lathyrus oleraceus (garden pea)
Lineage: Eukaryota; Viridiplantae; Streptophyta; Magnoliopsida; Fabales; Fabaceae
Description: Pisum sativum (pea) long non-coding RNA (PSAT_LNC039332)
Source: RNAcentral